GAAUAAGCUAUUAAGAGCUAACGGCGGAUGCCUUGGCAUCGGAAGGCGAUGAAGGACGUGGAAAGCUGCGAUAAGCUUCGGGGAGUUGUUAACAUGCUUUGAUCCGGAGAUUUCCGAAUGGGGAAACCCAGCAGGAGUUAUAUCCUGUUAUCCUUGACUGAAUACAUAGGUCAUGGAGGCGAACGUAGGGAACUGAAACAUCUAAGUACCUGCAGGAAUAGAAAUCAAUUGAGAUUCUGUGAGUAGCGGCGAGCGAAAGCGGAAAAGCCCAAACCAGACUUUGUCUGGGGUUGUAGGACCCCAAUGUGGGAUUAGUGAUGAUUAGUGGAAAGGUAUGGAAAGGCCUACCAUAGACGGUGAUAGUCCGGUAUACGAAAAUCUGAUCUACCCUAGGGAGUUCCUGAGUACCACGAGACACGUGAAACCUUGUGGGAAUCUAGGAGGACCAUCUUCUAAGGCUAAAUACUAACCGAUGACCGAUAGUGAACAAGUACCGUGAGGGAAAGGUGAAAAGAACGGGGGAACCCGAGUGAAAUAGACACUGAAACCGUUAGCUUACAAGCAGUCGGAGCACUAUGUAUUUAUACAGUGUGACGGCGUGCCUUUUGCAUAAUGAGUCAACGACUUACCGUGUGCAGCAAGGUUAAGCCGCGAGGUGGAGCCGUAGCGAAAGCGAGUCUUAAUAGGGCGAUAGUUGCAUGCGGUAGACCCGAAGCCGGGUGAUCUAUCCAUGGCCAGGGUGAAGUCUCGGUAACACGAGAUGGAGGCCCGAACCGAUAUAGGUUGAAAACUGUUCGGAUGAGCUGUGGAUAGGAGUGAAAGGCUAAUCAAACUCGGUGAUAGCUGGUUUUCUCCGAAAUAUAUUUAGGUAUAGCCUCGUAUGAUGACUGACGGAGGUAGAGCACUGACAAGGUUAGGGGUCCCACCGGAUUACCAACCCUUUUCAAACUCCGAAUGCCGUCAAGUUCUAGUACGGGAGUCAGACUGUGGGAGAUAAGUUCCAUGGUCGAAAGGGAAAGAACCCAGACCGUCAGCUAAGGUCCCUAAACUGUGCUAAGUGGAAAAGGAUGUGGAAUUGUUGAUACAACCAGGAGGUUGGCUUAGAAGCAGCAACCCUUUAAAGAAAGCGUAACAGCUCACUGGUCUAAUGAAUCUGCGCCGAAAAUUUAUCGGGGCUCAAGCACAGUACCGAAGCUACGGAUUCAGCAAACUGAUUCAAGCAUAUCAGCAUGAAGUGGAUACGAAUUUCACGAGCGUCUUAUUUGCUCGUCAAAUUCCUCCCACGAAAGCGCCAUCUACUUUGAUGGUUAUAUGUUGAUGUUUUUGAAUCAGUUUGCUGAAUGGUAGGAGAACAUUGUGGCCGCCUGAGAAGGUACACCGUAAGGAGUGCUGGAGGUUCCACAAGAGCUUAUGUUGACACGAGUAGCGAAAAACAAGGUGAGAAACCUUGUCGCCGAAAGCCUCAGGUUUCCUGUAGUCAAGUUAAUCUGCUCAGGGUUAGUCGGCUCCUAAGGCGAGGCCGAGAGGCGUAGUCGAUGGGAAACUGGUUAAUAUUCCAGUACCACUUAUCCAUUGUUAUGGUAAGGGGGGACGGAGAAGGUAAGGCCAUCCGGGCGUUGGUUGUCCCGGUUUAAGCGUGUAGGGGUAAGACUUAGGUAAAUCCGGGUCUUUAUUAACUCUGAGGCGUUAUGACGAAGUCCUAAGGACUACAAAGUGGCUGGUUCCAUGCUUCCAGGAAAAUCCUCGUAUCUAGAUGGAUAUGUGACCGUACCGUAAACCGACACAGGUAGGCAGGUAGAAAAUACCAAGGCGCUUGAGAGAACUUGGGUUAAGGAACUCGGCAAAAUAGCACCGUAACUUCGGGAGAAGGUGUGCCACAACUGGUGAUUGAAUUUACUUCAUGAGCUGGUCGUGGUUGCAGUGAAAUGGGGGGAGCGACUGUUUACUAAAAACACAGGACUCUGCGAAGUCGAAAGACGAAGUAUAGGGUCUGACGCCUGCCCGGUGCCGGAAGGUUAAGGGGACUUGUUAGCGCAAGCGAAGCAAUGAACCGAAGCCCCGGUAAACGGCGGCCGUAACUAUAACGGUCCUAAGGUAGCGAAAUUCCUUGUCGGGUAAGUUCCGACCUGCACGAAUGGCGUAACGAUUUCCCCACUGUCUCAACCCAAGACUCAGCGAAACUGUAGUACCGGUGAAGAUGCCGGUUACCCGCAACAAGACAGAAAGACCCCGUGAACCUUUACUAUAGCUUGGCAUUGGUUUUUGAGGUAACAUGUGUAGGAUAGGUGGGAGACUUUGAAGCGGGCACGCCAGUGUCUGUGGAGUCAUCCUUGAAAUACCACCCUUGUUAUCUUAGGAAUCUAACUGCGGUCCGUGAUCCGGAUCCAGGACAUUGUCUGGUGGGUAGUUUGACUGGGGCGGUCGCCUCCUAAAGAGUAACGGAGGCGCGCGAAGGUUCCCUCAGGCUGAUUGGAAACCAGCCGUAGAGUGCAAAGGCAUAAGGGAGCUUGACUGCGAGAGAGACAUUUCGAGCAGGUACGAAAGUAGGUCUUAGUGAUCCGGCGAUUCCGCAUGGAAGGGUCGUCGCUCAACGGAUAAAAGGUACUCCGGGGAUAACAGGCUUAUCUCCCCCAAGAGUCCAUAUCGACGGGGAGGUUUGGCACCUCGAUGUCGGCUCAUCACAUCCUGGGGCUGAAGCAGGUCCCAAGGGUUUGGCUGUUCGCCAAUUAAAGUGGUACGCGAGCUGGGUUUAAAACGUCGUGAGACAGUUUGGUCCUUAUCUGUUGCGGGCGCAGGAUAUUUGAGGAGAUCUUUUCCUAGUACGAGAGGACCGGAAUGGACGAACCUAUGGUGUUCCAGUUGUUUCGCCAGAAGCAUUGCUGGGUAGCUAAGUUCGGCAGGGAUAACCGCUGAAAGCAUCUAAGCGGGAAGCCCACUCCAAGAUAAGAUAUCCCGGGACAUUAGUCCCCUGAAGGCUCGUUGAAGACUACAACGUUGAUAGGUCAGGUGUGGAAGUGUGGUAACACAUGGAGCUUACUGAUACUAAUAAGCCGUGCGGCUUAUUCAU
Molecule: ribosomal RNA, 3067 nt
Organism: Desulfocapsa sulfexigens DSM 10523
Lineage: Bacteria; Pseudomonadati; Thermodesulfobacteriota; Desulfobulbia; Desulfobulbales; Desulfocapsaceae
Rfam family: Bacterial large subunit ribosomal RNA
Source: Rfam